AAAAAGCAUUGCAUAGCAAGGGCCGGGCAAGACCGGUGCCAGCCGCCGCGGUAACACCGGCGGCUCGAGUGGUAACCGUUAUUAUUGGGUCUAAAGGGUCUGUAGCCGGCCGGAUAAGUCUCUUGAGAAAUCCAGCAGCUCAACUGUUGGGCUUUCAGGAGAUACUGUUCGGCUCGAGGCCGGGAGAGGUGAGAGGUACUUCAGGGGUAGGGGUGAAAUCUUGUAAUCCUUGAAGGACCACCAGUGGCGAAGGCGUCUCACCAGAACGGACCUGACGGCAAGGGACGAAAGCUAGGGGCACGAACCGGAUUAGAUACCCGGGUAGUCCUAGCCGUAAACGAUACUCGCUAGGUGUCGGCCACGGUGCGACCGUUGUCGGUGCCGUAGGGAAGCCGUGAAGCGAGCCACCUGGGAAGUACGGCCGCAAGGCUGAAACUUAAAGGAAUUGGCGGGGG
RNAcentral lists this ribosomal RNA (455 nucleotides) under uncultured archaeon. RNAcentral describes it as "bacterial SSU rRNA". It matches the Rfam family "Archaeal small subunit ribosomal RNA", at positions 421 to 874 of the family's 1478-position model. The record is from RNAcentral.